CCUACGGGAGGCAGCAGUGAGGAAUCUUGGUCAAUGGGCGCGAGCCUGAUCCAGCCAAGUAGCGUGAAGGAUGACUGCCCUACGGGCUGUAAACUUCUUUUAUAAAGAAAUACAGUGAGGCACGUGUGCCUUUUUGUAUUGACUUUAUGAAUAAGGAUCGGCUAACUCCGUGCCAGCAGACGCGGUAAUACGGAGGGUGCGAGCGUUAUCCGGUUUUAUUGGGUUUAAAGGGAGCGUAGAUGGGUUGUUAAGUCAGUUGUGAAAGUUUGCGGCUCAACCGUAAAAUUGCAAUUGAUACUGGCAGUCUUGAGUACAGUUGAGGUAGGCGGAAUUCGUGGUGUAGCGGUGGAAUGCUUAGAUAUCACGAAGAACUCCGAUUGCGAAGGCAGCUUACUAAACUGCCACUGACAUUGAUGCUCGAAAGUGUGGGUAUCAAACAGGAUUAGAUACCCGUGUAGUC
Molecule: ribosomal RNA, 460 nt
Filed under: uncultured bacterium
Lineage: Bacteria
Description: partial 16S ribosomal RNA
Rfam family: Bacterial small subunit ribosomal RNA
Source: RNAcentral